This 495-nucleotide ribosomal RNA is filed under the name uncultured bacterium. RNAcentral's name for it is "partial 16S ribosomal RNA". It matches the Rfam family "Bacterial small subunit ribosomal RNA", at positions 28 to 507 of the family's 1533-position model. The record is from RNAcentral.
GACGAACGCUGGCGGCGUGCCUAAUACAUGCAAGUAGAACGCUGAAGGUGGAGCUUGCUUCUCUGGAUGAGUUGCGAACGGGUGAGUAACGCGUAGGUAACCUGCCUGGUAGCGGGGGAUAACUAUUGGAAACGAUAGCUAAUACCGCAUAAGAGUAGAUGUUGCAUGACAUUUGCUUAAAAGGUGCAAUUGCAUCACUACCAGAUGGACCUGCGUUGUAUUAGCUAGUUGGUGGGGUAACGGCUCACCAAGGCGACGAUACAUAGCCGACCUGAGAGGGUGAUCGGCCACACUGGGACUGAGACACGGCCCAGACUCCUACGGGGGGCAGCAGUAGGGAAUCUUCGGCAAUGGACGGAAGUCUGACCGAGCAACGCCGCGUGAGUGAAGAAGGUUUUCGGAUCGUAAAGCUCUGUUGUAAGAGAAGAACGAGUGUGAGAGUGGAAAGUUCACACUGUGACGGUAUCUUACCAGAAAGGGACGGCUAACUACGUG